Molecule: ribosomal RNA, 2925 nt
Filed under: Escherichia coli
Lineage: Bacteria; Pseudomonadati; Pseudomonadota; Gammaproteobacteria; Enterobacterales; Enterobacteriaceae
Description: 23S ribosomal RNA
Rfam family: Bacterial large subunit ribosomal RNA
Source: RNAcentral
GGGUUGUGAGGUUAAGCGACUAAGCGUACACGGUGGAUGCCCUGGCAGUCAGAGGCGAUGAAGGACGUGCUAAUCUGCGAUAAGCGUCGGUAAGGUGAUAUGAACCGUUAUAACCGGCGAUUUCCGAAUGGGGAAACCCAGUGUGAUUCGUCACACUAUCAUUAACUGAAUCCAUAGGUUAAUGAGGCGAACCGGGGGAACUGAAACAUCUAAGUACCCCGAGGAAAAGAAAUCAACCGAGAUUCCCCCAGUAGCGGCGAGCGAACGGGGAGCAGCCCAGAGCCUGAAUCAGUGUGUGUGUUAGUGGAAGCGUCUGGAAAGGCGCGCGAUACAGGGUGACAGCCCCGUACACAAAAAUGCACAUGCUGUGAGCUCGAUGAGUAGGGCGGGACACGUGGUAUCCUGUCUGAAUAUGGGGGGACCAUCCUCCAAGGCUAAAUACUCCUGACUGACCGAUAGUGAACCAGUACCGUGAGGGAAAGGCGAAAAGAACCCCGGCGAGGGGAGUGAAAAAGAACCUGAAACCGUGUACGUACAAGCAGUGGGAGCACGCUUAGGCGUGUGACUGCGUACCUUUUGUAUAAUGGGUCAGCGACUUAUAUUCUGUAGCAAGGUUAACCGAAUAGGGGAGCCGAAGGGAAACCGAGUCUUAACUGGGCGUUAAGUUGCAGGGUAUAGACCCGAAACCCGGUGAUCUAGCCAUGGGCAGGUUGAAGGUUGGGUAACACUAACUGGAGGACCGAACCGACUAAUGUUGAAAAAUUAGCGGAUGACUUGUGGCUGGGGGUGAAAGGCCAAUCAAACCGGGAGAUAGCUGGUUCUCCCCGAAAGCUAUUUAGGUAGCGCCUCGUGAAUUCAUCUCCGGGGGUAGAGCACUGUUUCGGCAAGGGGGUCAUCCCGACUUACCAACCCGAUGCAAACUGCGAAUACCGGAGAAUGUUAUCACGGGAGACACACGGCGGGUGCUAACGUCCGUCGUGAAGAGGGAAACAACCCAGACCGCCAGCUAAGGUCCCAAAGUCAUGGUUAAGUGGGAAACGAUGUGGGAAGGCCCAGACAGCCAGGAUGUUGGCUUAGAAGCAGCCAUCAUUUAAAGAAAGCGUAAUAGCUCACUGGUCGAGUCGGCCUGCGCGGAAGAUGUAACGGGGCUAAACCAUGCACCGAAGCUGCGGCAGCGACGCUUAUGCGUUGUUGGGUAGGGGAGCGUUCUGUAAGCCUGUGAAGGUGUGCUGUGAGGCAUGCUGGAGGUAUCAGAAGUGCGAAUGCUGACAUAAGUAACGAUAAAGCGGGUGAAAAGCCCGCUCGCCGGAAGACCAAGGGUUCCUGUCCAACGUUAAUCGGGGCAGGGUGAGUCGACCCCUAAGGCGAGGCCGAAAGGCGUAGUCGAUGGGAAACAGGUUAAUAUUCCUGUACUUGGUGUUACUGCGAAGGGGGGACGGAGAAGGCUAUGUUGGCCGGGCGACGGUUGUCCCGGUUUAAGCGUGUAGGCUGGUUUUCCAGGCAAAUCCGGAAAAUCAAGGCUGAGGCGUGAUGACGAGGCACUACGGUGCUGAAGCAACAAAUGCCCUGCUUCCAGGAAAAGCCUCUAAGCAUCAGGUAACAUCAAAUCGUACCCCAAACCGACACAGGUGGUCAGGUAGAGAAUACCAAGGCGCUUGAGAGAACUCGGGUGAAGGAACUAGGCAAAAUGGUGCCGUAACUUCGGGAGAAGGCACGCUGAUAUGUAGGUGAAGCGACUUGCUCGUGGAGCUGAAAUCAGUCGAAGAUACCAGCUGGCUGCAACUGUUUAUUAAAAACACAGCACUGUGCAAACACGAAAGUGGACGUAUACGGUGUGACGCCUGCCCGGUGCCGGAAGGUUAAUUGAUGGGGUCAGCGCAAGCGAAGCUCUUGAUCGAAGCCCCGGUAAACGGCGGCCGUAACUAUAACGGUCCUAAGGUAGCGAAAUUCCUUGUCGGGUAAGUUCCGACCUGCACGAAUGGCGUAAUGAUGGCCAGGCUGUCUCCACCCGAGACUCAGUGAAAUUGAACUCGCUGUGAAGAUGCAGUGUACCCGCGGCAAGACGGAAAGACCCCGUGAACCUUUACUAUAGCUUGACACUGAACAUUGAGCCUUGAUGUGUAGGAUAGGUGGGAGGCUUUGAAGUGUGGACGCCAGUCUGCAUGGAGCCGACCUUGAAAUACCACCCUUUAAUGUUUGAUGUUCUAACGUUGACCCGUAAUCCGGGUUGCGGACAGUGUCUGGUGGGUAGUUUGACUGGGGCGGUCUCCUCCUAAAGAGUAACGGAGGAGCACGAAGGUUGGCUAAUCCUGGUCGGACAUCAGGAGGUUAGUGCAAUGGCAUAAGCCAGCUUGACUGCGAGCGUGACGGCGCGAGCAGGUGCGAAAGCAGGUCAUAGUGAUCCGGUGGUUCUGAAUGGAAGGGCCAUCGCUCAACGGAUAAAAGGUACUCCGGGGAUAACAGGCUGAUACCGCCCAAGAGUUCAUAUCGACGGCGGUGUUUGGCACCUCGAUGUCGGCUCAUCACAUCCUGGGGCUGAAGUAGGUCCCAAGGGUAUGGCUGUUCGCCAUUUAAAGUGGUACGCGAGCUGGGUUUAGAACGUCGUGAGACAGUUCGGUCCCUAUCUGCCGUGGGCGCUGGAGAACUGAGGGGGGCUGCUCCUAGUACGAGAGGACCGGAGUGGACGCAUCACUGGUGUUCGGGUUGUCAUGCCAAUGGCACUGCCCGGUAGCUAAAUGCGGAAGAGAUAAGUGCUGAAAGCAUCUAAGCACGAAACUUGCCCCGAGAUGAGUUCUCCCUGACCCUUUAAGGGUCCUGAAGGAACGUUGAAGACGACGACGUUGAUAGGCCGGGUGUGUAAGCGCAGCGAUGCGUUGAGCUAACCGGUACUAAUGAACCGUGAGGCUUAACCUUACAACGCCGAAG